Molecule: ribosomal RNA, 253 nt
Filed under: uncultured bacterium
Lineage: Bacteria
Description: partial 16S ribosomal RNA
Rfam family: Bacterial small subunit ribosomal RNA
Source: RNAcentral
UACAGAGGGUGCAAGCGUUAAUCGGACUUACUGGGCGUAAAGGGUGCGUAGGCGGAAGGAUAAGUUAGUUGUGAAAGGCCUGGGCUUAACCUAGGAACUGCAAUUAAAACUGUCCAUCUAGAGUUGAGUAGAGGGGAGCGGAAUUUCCGGUGUAGCGGUGAAAUGCGUAGAUAUCGGAAGGAACAUCAGUUGCGAAGGCGGCUCUCUGGACUCAAACUGACGCUGAGGCACGAAAGCGUGGGUAGCGAACAGG